Molecule: long non-coding RNA, 2149 nt
Organism: Sitodiplosis mosellana (orange wheat blossom midge)
Lineage: Eukaryota; Metazoa; Arthropoda; Insecta; Diptera; Cecidomyiidae
Exons: 6
Source: RefSeq, a predicted model, not a curated record
GUUGUUGAAAGAGAUUUGUUUAUAGUAGAAUAAAAUAGCAUACAUGUCAAUCUGGUUCUAUAGUUGCUUUAUUACUGGUUAUUUCGGUUGAAUCACGAUUGGAAGUAGGAUAUUUACUGGUUCAAAAGAAAAAAAGAUGGGAAUUCGGGGCAUGACAAAUCUUAUGAUUGAGGAGGAAAUCUAUCCACCCCCUGAAGGUAGAACUAAUAUUGAAGAGAAAAUCGAAGAAUGAAAAAGUGAAAACCCUGGUAAAACUCCCAAAAUAGUUAUUGACUUUAGGAGCGCAACCAAUUGGUGUGUUGCUAAGACAGAAGAUGUUAUUUGUGGUGGCCGUCAUCAAAUUCUUAUCGAAAAUUGGGGGAACAAUUUACGAGCACUGAAGAGCACUGGAUGUGACUUGGUGUUUUUUUCCGAUUUGAAAAUUGAAAGAUCGAAAAUCAGUAAAAAAAUUGGAACGGUUUGGAAAAAGACAAGGACAUCUACAAGAAUGUAUAUGAUCUAAUGAAGAAGGGUACAAUGUUGAAUGAAAUUAUAUGGGAAAUGGAAAUCGAUAAAAAGGAAAGAGAAAGACUGAAUCGGGUAAUAAAAUCGGUCAACCAUGCACUAGCCGUCAAAGCACAAACAUUUGGCGACUUUUAUUAUUCAGCUCAUCAUGAUUGUGAUUGGGAACUAGCAAAAUAUGCUAAAGAAAACGAUGCAUUGGCCAUUAUUUCACAGGAUACAGACUUUCUCAUUUUCGAAGGAUCAUGGAAGUUCUGGUCAUCUGAUGAUUUUAUAUUUGAAGCAAAUGGCAUAAUAACCACUUAUGAAUAUGAUCGAAACUACCUUGCACGAAAACCUUUUUCCCUGGAAAAUCAUCAAUUACCACUUUUUGCUACCCUAUGUGGCAAUGAUAUUACUAGUAAUAUAUAUAAAGGAAGACGCCUCACAAGUGGUGUCUGUCAAAUAGUUGCCAAGCGUGUGCGUGGGGUGAAAAAGGAAAAAAUUUCUCUUUCAAAUGCUGAUAUUGAACAGUAUGUCGAAAAUGUCAUUAAGCCCAAAGAUGUACAUAAAACAAUUCAGUUGAUUCAAGAAAGUCUUGAUUCGUACAAUCUCGACGCUGUUCCUAAGAAUGAUCCAAUCGAUCCAAUCGAGCAAAAACUUUUAAAUGGUGACAUUGGCAUUUUUCGAGCUUAUAUGGAGGCUAAAAACCCGAUUGAGCCGAUUGCUAUCUGUCCCACUGCAUAUGUGUGAUAUGCCCAGCGACGAACAAAUAAGAAUCAGCAAUAUCUUCAUGGACUGGAAGUUACGAAGUGCUGGCGUUAUACAUAAAGGAAUAAACGACAAAUCUUUGAUGUUCGAAUGUUUAAUGAAGGAUAAAUCUGGAACUUUUGUCCAGCAAUCUCCACGAAGACCUAUUUUUCCGAGUGAAUUUAAAGUGCCGCCUUUAAAAGAACUGUAUCUUUGCAAAGAUAUUCGAGAAAUUAAGUGGACAAUUUUCGGUUUUAUCUCUUCAAUGAGCGAUGAAAAAAUUACAGCAAUAAAAAGGCUUCCAAAAAAAUAUCUCCUCACCAGUACCACCCUAUAUACUUUGGUAAAGGAAGAAUUUCUCACAGAAAAACAGGCUGAUGGAAUUCUGUACACUGAAUAUGAAGCUAUUGAUGCAAAACUGGAAUACCCCGAAAAGUUGAGCGUUGAACAUGUUCGAGCAGCUCAUAUUUACAAUAAUACGUUUCCACACGUAAAAAAGUGCUUUAUUAUUGCGGGUUUGAACGUUUCGGUGCAGAUGAUGAUUUAAUCCAUUUUUAAAAGCACAUUAUCUAUUAAAUAUCUUGGUUUUUGUCUAAUUUAUAGGGGCUGUCACAAUUUGACGGUGUAUACUUCCAGAAGACUAUGGAAAGGGUCGAUUUGAUGAACCCUAACGAAUACGAACGUUUCAUCGCUCCAAUCCGCAAAUAUCGAAUUUAUGACAGAAUUUAAUAACUUUUCUAUCGCUUUUUUAUAUUUUUAUAUUUCCAUCAUAAUAAUCAAAGGAAUUGAACUAUUUUUGAUAAAUUGAAGUAAAAUUUAUGCAUACCAAAAGGGAAAUUUCAAGAUGAAGCCAUGACAAAUAUAUUCACAACUUUUUUAUAAUAAAGAUCUGAUAUAUUGUGAUAUCAGUAUUAAAAUG